UCGAUCUCACUCCAGACCCUUUCCUGACACCUGAUCAUCGACACGUAAUCGUUUGCCUUUACACACCUUGCCCACAACAUUUUCAGGUUGCUGUACGCCGGGGAAACGACUCUGGACGACGGGAGGGGGUCAAUGGCCGGUACGCUUUUAAAUUAGCGUGGAAUUUUGUCUGAUUCUGAGACAAAGGGGAAGAGAAAUAUCGCUAUCAGAUUAAAUCCAGGAAGAUUUUUGUGCAUAACUGUGCAAAAAUGAGCAAGCUCACUUUUGGUGUGGGGAUUAUAAGGAGAAAAAUUGAUGAGUACCGACCUGAAGUUUUCGCUGGUUACGACCAUUAUUGUCCUGGGGCUUAUUGUUGCCACCGGUCUGACGGCUGCCCUGCAUUGAUUA
This 387-nucleotide small RNA is filed under the name [Enterobacter] lignolyticus SCF1. RNAcentral's name for it is "Enterobacter cloacae SCF1 Enterobacterial sRNA STnc550". It matches the Rfam family "Enterobacterial sRNA STnc550". The record is from Rfam by way of RNAcentral. Lineage: Bacteria; Pseudomonadati; Pseudomonadota; Gammaproteobacteria; Enterobacterales; Enterobacteriaceae.